AGGACUUUUACUGUUUUUGCCUAUUUUGUUCUGGAAUAAAUACAUUAAUACUUGCUCUAGGCCAUCUGCUGAUGGGAGCAAUGGCUCCCGUGGCUGAGGUGUGGGGACCUGGAGGGCUGUCACAGCACUGUGGGGUGACAGGGGUGCAGAGGCCAGGGCACUGCUGAGCCCCGCAGGAGGAGACCGGGAAUGACCUGCCCGCACAGUCCUUGGGUAAGUUCACAUGUUGCGAGCCUAGAGCCUCAGUUCUUAACCGGUAAUGUAUGGAAGAGCUUAGGACACUUGAAAUACUUGGGGGAAAUGAUUGCUAGCCCAGGAGCCCAGGAGCCCAGGAGCCCAGGAGCCCUGGGUGAGGCGCACAGUGAUGACUUCGAUAACACAGGCCAUCUGGUCCAGCGGUGCCACACCAACCUUGAUACACAAAGCCAAUGUCCCAUUAAGGCCACUGCCCAGCGUGCGUGCCUAGGACCCCUUUCAUGCAAAUCCUAUGCUUUUAAUUCUGAUUUGAGAUUAGUUCCAAAAAAAAGCCCUAGCACACAUUUCUCUUGUUAAAAACAGAAAACCGUGUAUUUGAUUUUCUUUCCCCCUUUGCUACAAGAAAACUAAGCUGCCUGAGGUCACUGUGCUUUCUGAGAAUGUCCCUGAAGUGCUUGAGUGACAUCUUCGAGCCAGGAACUCCCUAGACUCAGACCCCAGGGCCUUCACUCAGCAGCCGCUGGAGGCCGUGGAGCCCAGUCGUUCUCUGAGCUCCAUUUCCCCUCAGAGUCACAUGUCCUGAUUCAAAACGCUCAAAGUCACCUGCACAGAUCACUCACCUGGGGCUCCUCCAAGUACAGCUCGCUCAACCCUGAGGACAACAAUCUCGAACUUCCUGCCUGCUGCUUUCCUCACUUCCGCCCCUUCGAUGCAGGACCCGGAUGCUCAGCACCCCUGCGUUGCAGUGAACAUCCUUGUUGCUCUUUGCAGAGUCAUUUGAACCUCUUUCCCUCCCAUUUGCCUCAGCUCCCACCACACCGGCCUCGGGUCUGCCCUUGUCCCUGAUCCCAGCUGCUCUGUCUGCCUCCGGAAGGGCUGCAGCCAGGGGUCCCAUGUUACCUGCCCCCCUGGAGGGACAGCCCGCCUGACCAGGCCCUGUGAGGAGAACACCGCCCUGCAGAGGGAAGGACGGGGAAGGGGCCCCUGUCCCCUGCCUCCUAAGUGUGCCUUCAGCUGGGAACCGUCUGCAGAAGAACCCGCUCCUAGCCUGGUGGCCUCCCCAUCCAGCCGCCUCCCCAAAGUCGGACCAAGGGCACAUGUCCCCCGGGGGACGUUUCUGCCAAAUAUCACUUGGCCCUGGACAGAGUGGCCUCUUCCCCUCGGGGUCCUGCUGUGCUUUCCUCCCCUGGUGGCGGGCGUCACCAACCUCACUGUCUGUGGGGGGCUCCUCAGCUCCGCUGCACUGGGCUCCCCAGGAGCAGGAGCUGGGCCUCCACAGUGUCAGAGUGGCCAGUGUUCGUCAAACAAAUGGAGAGAUUUUCACUCUCAGUAAUCAAAUAGCACUUUUGGCAUCUCACCUUACACAGUCCCGCCUUGAGCCGAAGAAAAAUGCCAAGAUUUCUGAGCAAGAAGGAUGAUAAUAACGUUUCAGAAUUUACUUUGGUUCAAAUGCGGAGCUAAUGUUUCUCAAUUUUGCCUCAUGUAUGGUCUCCAAAUAUUCAAUAACUUAGGAAAGCAAAAGAAAUACUUGGUCAUUUUAAUAGAGAAACAAGGAAGGUCAGAGUUUGGACUCCUUGCUGUGUAAAUAAUGGAAUGCUCCAAUCUGGGAAUAAACA
Chinchilla lanigera (long-tailed chinchilla) is the source of this 1811-nucleotide long non-coding RNA. RefSeq lists it as uncharacterized. The transcript is spliced from 3 exons. The record is from RefSeq and is a predicted model, not a curated record. Lineage: Eukaryota; Metazoa; Chordata; Mammalia; Rodentia; Chinchillidae.